GUUGGGGAUAUAGCUCAGUUGGUAGAGUGCUUGCUUUGCAUGAAUGCAUAAGGCCCUGGGUUCAAUCCCCAGCAACA
This 77-nucleotide transfer RNA is filed under the name Marmota monax (woodchuck). RNAcentral describes it as "tRNA.Ala". The stretch from base 11 to 72 matches the Rfam family "tRNA", at positions 8 to 63 of the family's 71-position model. Rfam says of the family: Transfer RNA (tRNA) molecules are approximately 80 nucleotides in length. Their secondary structure includes four short double-helical elements and three loops (D, anti-codon, and T loops). Lineage: Eukaryota; Metazoa; Chordata; Mammalia; Rodentia; Sciuridae. The record is from RNAcentral.